RNAcentral lists this small RNA (1073 nucleotides) under Pan troglodytes (chimpanzee). RNAcentral describes it as "retained intron". The record is from RNAcentral. Lineage: Eukaryota; Metazoa; Chordata; Mammalia; Primates; Hominidae.
UGUAAAAACUGGGUCAGUUUUUUGGACAAUGUGCUGCUGCUUAUCCUAUUUCUAUAUGGUCUCUGCUUGGGGUGGUUAUGUAUUUAUCAUCAAUCUUAUUCCACUGCAUGUAUUUGUGUUGUUACUGAUGCAGAGAUACAGCAAAAGAGUCUACAUAGCAUAUAGCACUUUCUACAUUGUGGGUUUAAUAUUAUCAAUGCAGAUACCUUUUGUGGGAUUCCAGCCAAUCAGAACAAGUGAACACAUGGCAGCUGCAGGUGUCUUUGCAUUGCUGCAAGCUUAUGCUUUCUUGCAGUAUCUGAGAGACCGAUUAACAAAACAAGAGUUCCAGACCCUUUUCUUUUUGGGUGUAUCACUAGCUGCAGGUGCUGUGUUCCUUAGUGUCAUCUAUUUGACUUAUACAGGUUACAUUGCACCAUGGAGUGGCAGGUUUUACUCAUUGUGGGAUACUGGGUAUGCAAAAAUACACAUUCCAAUUAUUGCAUCAGUGUCUGAGCAUCAACCUACGACUUGGGUGUCUUUCUUCUUUGAUCUACAUAUUCUUGUAUGUACCUUCCCAGCAGGCCUUUGGUUCUGCAUCAAAAAUAUCAACGAUGAAAGAGUAUUUGGUAAGAGAGGUUUUUAAUGAAUACUUUGAUAUGGAAUAGUUAUUUUUCUUUUUGAGAUUAUUUACUUUAAAUUUUUGUUUUUCUAUGUUUGACUCUAUAUAUUCAAGAUAAAUUUUCUCCCUUAUUUUGCAUAGGUGCUUAACAAAGAAAAAUUCACUGAGAGGCUGGGCAUGGUGGCACACGCCUGUAAUCCCAGCACUUUGGGAGGCCGAGGCGGGCGGAUCACCUGAGGUCAGGAGUUCGAGACCAGCCUGGCCAACAUGGUGAAACCUUGUCUCUACUAAAAAUACAAAAAUUAGCCGAACAUGAUGGUGCAUGCCUGUAAUCCCAGCUACUCAGGAGGCUGAGGCAGGAGAAUUGCUUGAACCUGGGAGGCGGAGGUUGCAGUGAGUCAAGAUCAAGCCACUGCACUCCACCCUGGGAAUCAGAGUGAGACUCUGUCUCAAAAAAAAAAAAGAAAGAAAA